ACGGAGGGUGCGAGCGUUAAUCGGAAUCACUGGGCGUAAAGCGCACGUAGGCGGUGUCGUAAGUCGGAUGUGAAAGCCCUCGGCUCAACCGGGGAACUGCAUUCGAUACUGCGACGCUUGAGUGCCGGAGAGGGUGGCGGAAUUCCAGGUGUAGCGGGGAAGUGCGUAGAUAUGGGGGAGGAGGCCAGAGGCGAAGGCGGCAACGUAGCCUGAGACUGACGCUUAGGUGCGUGAGCGUGUGGAUGAAACAG
RNAcentral lists this ribosomal RNA (251 nucleotides) under uncultured prokaryote. RNAcentral describes it as "partial 16S rRNA". It matches the Rfam family "Bacterial small subunit ribosomal RNA", at positions 525 to 775 of the family's 1533-position model. The record is from RNAcentral.